RNAcentral lists this ribosomal RNA (1403 nucleotides) under Leuconostoc citreum. RNAcentral's name for it is "16S ribosomal RNA". It matches the Rfam family "Bacterial small subunit ribosomal RNA". The record is from RNAcentral. Lineage: Bacteria; Bacillati; Bacillota; Bacilli; Lactobacillales; Lactobacillaceae.
AGAGGUGCUUGCACCUUUCAAGCGAGUGGCGAACGGGUGAGUAACACGUGGAUAACCUGCCUCAAGGCUGGGGAUAACAUUUGGAAACAGAUGCUAAUACCGAAUAAAACUUAGUAUCGCAUGAUAUCAAGUUAAAAGGCGCUACGGCGUCACCUAGAGAUGGAUCCGCGGUGCAUUAGUUAGUUGGUGGGGUAAAGGCUUACCAAGACGAUGAUGCAUAGCCGAGUUGAGAGACUGAUCGGCCACAUUGGGACUGAGACACGGCCCAAACUCCUACGGGAGGCUGCAGUAGGGAAUCUUCCACAAUGGGCGCAAGCCUGAUGGAGCAACGCCGCGUGUGUGAUGAAGGCUUUCGGGUCGUAAAGCACUGUUGUAUGGGAAGAAAUGCUAAAAUAGGGAAUGAUUUUAGUUUGACGGUACCAUACCAGAAAGGGACGGCUAAAUACGUGCCAGCAGCCGCGGUAAUACGUAUGUCCCGAGCGUUAUCCGGAUUUAUUGGGCGUAAAGCGAGCGCAGACGGUUGAUUAAGUCUGAUGUGAAAGCCCGGAGCUCAACUCCGGAAUGGCAUUGGAAACUGGUUAACUUGAGUGUUGUAGAGGUAAGUGGAACUCCAUGUGUAGCGGUGGAAUGCGUAGAUAUAUGGAAGAACACCAGUGGCGAAGGCGGCUUACUGGACAACAACUGACGUUGAGGCUCGAAAGUGUGGGUAGCAAACAGGAUUAGAUACCCUGGUAGUCCACACCGUAAACGAUGAAUACUAGGUGUUAGGAGGUUUCCGCCUCUUAGUGCCGAAGCUAACGCAUUAAGUAUUCCGCCUGGGGAGUACGACCGCAAGGUUGAAACUCAAAGGAAUUGACGGGGACCCGCACAAGCGGUGGAGCAUGUGGUUUAAUUCGAAGCAACGCGAAGAACCUUACCAGGUCUUGACAUCCUUUGAAGCUUUUAGAGAUAGAAGUGUUCUCUUCGGAGACAAAGUGACAGGUGGUGCAUGGUCGUCGUCAGCUCGUGUCGUGAGAUGUUGGGUUAAGUCCCGCAACGAGCGCAACCCUUAUUGUUAGUUGCCAGCAUUCAGUUGGGCACUCUAGCGAGACUGCCGGUGACAAACCGGAGGAAGGCGGGGACGACGUCAGAUCAUCAUGCCCCUUAUGACCUGGGCUACACACGUGCUACAAUGGCGUAUACAACGAGUUGCCAACCUGCGAAGGUGAGCUAAUCUCUUAAAGUACGUCUCAGUUCGGACUGCAGUCUGCAACUCGACUGCACGAAGUCGGAAUCGCUAGUAAUCGCGGAUCAGCACGCCGCGGUGAAUACGUUCCCGGGUCUUGUACACACCGCCCGUCACACCAUGGGAGUUUGUAAUGCCCAAAGCCGGUGGCCUAACCUUCGGGAGGGAGCCGUCUAAG